Molecule: ribosomal RNA, 253 nt
Filed under: uncultured bacterium
Lineage: Bacteria
Description: partial 16S ribosomal RNA
Rfam family: Bacterial small subunit ribosomal RNA
Source: RNAcentral
UACGUAGGGUGCAAGCGUUGUCCGGAAUUAUUGGGCGUAAAGAGCUCGUAGGUGGCCUGUCGCGUCGGCUGUGAAAACUCGGGGCUCAACUCCGAGCUUGCAGUCGAUACGGGCAGGCUAGAGUUCGGCAGGGGAGACUGGAAUUCCUGGUGUAGCGGUGAAAUGCGCAGAUAUCAGGAGGAACACCGGUGGCGAAGGCGGUCUGCUGGGGUGAGGCUGACGCUGAUGCGCGACAGCGUGGGGAGCAAACAGG